Molecule: long non-coding RNA, 1212 nt
Filed under: Anser brachyrhynchus (Pink-footed goose)
Lineage: Eukaryota; Metazoa; Chordata; Aves; Anseriformes; Anatidae
Description: lncRNA (ENSABRG00000015837.1)
Source: RNAcentral
CCAUCGCAUCCAUGUGAGCAAAGGAAGUGAGGCGAGAGGAACAUCCCACUCAGUCUGCAGAAGCAGGCCAUCGUCAGCGAGAGCACUGGAAGCUGUGGCUGCCGUGGUAGGUGUUAUCUGGGAAAACGGAGAGUACACAACAAGGAGUUUCAAGAAGCACAGUACAAAAAAAAAAAACAAAAACAAAACAAAAAAAAAAUUAAUCACACUGGAGAGCGAUAGAACAGAAACUUUGCCAGAGGGGCAAUGCCUUUCUUCCACGUUAUGUUGACCAAACUAGAAAAUUAGUCUCUUGAGAUUCAAGAAGAAAUAAAAAAAGGAUUUAUUUUGGAAUGCAAGACAGAUACAUGGAUAACACAGAACUUUAUAACAAACCUAAAUCUCUGCAUUUUAUACACAGUUAAUGGAAGCUAAUAGACAAAUCAGUAUGUAAGGAGUAUUUAAAAAGAGAAGCUUUAAUAAAUGCCAAAGCUGCUGUUUGCUUGCAUGGAAUUUCAAUUGCACCAUGUAAUGCUGGUAAUUGUUUCCUUCUAAUUAGACAUGUAAUAGGUACCCAACCCAGUCUAGAUGUUCUUCAGCAACUUGUCUGAGAUGUCCAUGAGCCAGAUUGCAACAGGAGCUGACACAGGAACGAUGGAGCAACACACACACAGUGUGAUAAGGAGGAAGAGCAUGCCUGUCUAUGUCUCAUGCGCACAGAGCUUGAGGGUGGAAACAGACAACCAGAGCUGUAUGUAGGCUUGGAGGAAGAGAUAUUAUCAAAUGGUGCUAGAAACAGAGGCAGGACACAACACCAUACCAGGUAGCCUGAGCAAAAAUUUCAUUGCUAAUUAAAAACAGAAAAACAUGUGAAUGUGUAUGAAGUGAUAAGUUUAAAAGCAAUGUGUUCUGAGAUAUGUCUGGUGCAAGCCAAUGCAGAUUAGCAUGGGACAAGUUUGUUAAAAUGCCUUUUAAAACCUACAGGUAAAAAUCCUGAAGAUGUCUCCUCCAAUGUGCCAUCCAGAGCUAAUGCUCCUGUAAGAAAAAGCAUGCCAGUGUCAUUGUAGAUGCCUGGCUUUAGUGCCACUCCUAAUACACAGCCCUCCUCACACUCAUCACCUUCAUCAGUUCCUGCCUUCAGCACCCUCUCAUCUGCCCAUCCUGCUCAGCAGCUUUCCUAUGGUAAAAGUGAAAAAAAAUAAAAAGAAUAAAAGAAUAAAAGAAUAAAAGAAU